This 553-nucleotide unclassified non-coding RNA is filed under the name Hevea brasiliensis (rubber tree). Lineage: Eukaryota; Viridiplantae; Streptophyta; Magnoliopsida; Malpighiales; Euphorbiaceae. The record is from RNAcentral.
GGAGACCAAAUGCAAAAUUAAAGACCAUGAUUUCUGCAGUUUGUGUGGGUGUAGGCGUUGCACUUUUGCUUAUUUCUUUGCUUCUUUGCCACCAUUCAAGAAAAAGAAAAGGAGAAUCUGCAUCACUAUUUGAUGGGAAUUCACUAUUGAAGUUGUCUUAUCAAAGCCUGCUUAAAGCUACUAAUGGAUUCUCUUUAGAAAAUUUGAUUGGUACGGGUAGCUUUGGAUCUGUAUAUAAAGGGAUUCUUGAUCAAGAAGGAAUGGUAAUUGCAGUUAAGGUGCUUAACCUCAUGCGACGAGGAGCUUCAAAGAGCUUUGUAGCCGAAUGUGAAGCCUUGCGAAAUGUCAGGCAUCGAAAUCUUGUCAAAGUACUCACAGCGUGUGCAGGAAUUGAUUAUCAGGGCAAUGAUUUCAAAGCAUUGGUUUAUGAAUUUAUGGUUAAUGGGAGCUUAGAUGAUUGGUUGCAUCCAAUUCUUGGAUUAGAUGAGGUGCCAAGGACUUUAAAUGUUAUCCAAAGAUUGAAUAUUGCCCUGAUAAUCAAUUCCUGCACACG